Long non-coding RNA from Perca fluviatilis (European perch), 702 nucleotides. RefSeq lists it as uncharacterized. The record is from RefSeq and is a predicted model, not a curated record. The transcript has 3 exons. NCBI's taxonomy places the organism in Eukaryota, Metazoa, Chordata, Actinopteri, Perciformes, Percidae.
AACAUAAACUUCAUACUCCUGCUUUGCUGGAGUAAGGACAGUUACGCCCCCCUCUCAGCCCAUUGGUCAAUAUCUCCGCUGGAAUGCGUUUGUCAGCUUUUAAAUGGAUGUGGCUCGUGUCAUUCUGGGCACACUAAACGAUGCCGCGUGGGCUGCACCUCAUCAGGUUGGAUAAGGGUCCUCCAGGUGUCAGACACUUCCCCCAGCAGAGCAUUCUCCUCUGACUCCUGACAAGCCCAGUCAUGAUCCUGCCUCUCUCUGCGCCACUCAUCUGCUCAACCAGCGUUGAUUAAGAAGACACCCACGCAGGCAUUGUGCAGCACAGCAGGGCAGGUUCAAAUGACUCAAUUAUAUUACAUGUUGGUAGGAUUUUGGCACGUUCUGCUCAAGGAAGUUUGUUGCUGCUAGCCAUCCACAGUGCUACUGCUGCAUCGCCUCCUGAUUUCCCAAACUACGGAGCGGCACGAGGUCUAAAUCACAGAACGGGCGUCAAAAAAUGAGUGGCAUUAAAAGAAAUUUGUGUUCACUCGUUAUUAUCGCACUCAUUUUCACAGCCCUAGUUAAUAUAUGUGACUAGAGAAGUCUGAGAAUGUUGAAGGGACAGAGGGCCACGCAAAAUCUUACAGUGUCUCAUUGCCAGGCUCCUAUAUGAUGUUUGUAGGCCUACUGGUUUCACAUUAAAUUAAAAUGUCAGUAAUUCAA